This is a long non-coding RNA of Sus scrofa (pig), 1634 nucleotides long. RefSeq lists it as uncharacterized. The record is from RefSeq and is a predicted model, not a curated record. Lineage: Eukaryota; Metazoa; Chordata; Mammalia; Artiodactyla; Suidae.
CCCCGGCUCCCCCCACUUCCUCUCCAGCGCGCGCGCGUCCCUUCGGAAGAACCGCUCCCCCGAGGACCAAGAGGCUCAAGGGGAGGCGGAGGAGGGGGCUGGAGCCGGGCCGGGGGCGAGAGCCGGGAGGGCAGGGCGCGGGGCUGCCCGGGCCUCGGCCUUCCCGCCCCCGGGCGCCUCGGGACCGCCGCCUGCCCCGGCCGGGAGCUUUGUUCUUUCUCCCCAACUACCUGUCUGAGCAGCGGGCCGGAGGGGGCCGAAGGAAAGGGCCCCCGCUCCGGGAGGGGCUCCCCAUCAGCAUCCGAGGGGCGCGCUCGGGGAGAAUGGGGUAGCGCCGCGCCUCCCUGUCUGCCUCCCUCCCUGCCUUUCCUCUUCUGUCUUCUCUUUUGUUGCCUCUACUCUUGGACACGACACAGCCUUUGCUGUACCCCCUCCCACUUGGGAGUUUGCAGUGUGGACGCACAGCGAACACAACUGGCCUGCGAAGGGUUGCAGUUAUGACAGUGCCGAUGACAGCUUCCAUCUGUGUGGUGCCCUGGCAUUCGGGAACCUUCCAUCAUCUGACUGGCCUGUGGCAUCAGGGAGGGGAGGGGGCAGUGGCCUGUGCAAGGCAGCCAUGACGGGGACGGUCAGGAGGAGAGGCCCUGCCCAUCUGCCUUUCCAGACUUGAGAACCACUAAAUCGAAUUCAUGGCCUGCGUGUGCUGUGGAAAAGUGCUUUGGCAGAAACAACCACAGCCGCAGAGGAGUUAAAAGCCAGCCCCCACCUCUAGGCAACGUGACAAAGGCCCAGGCAGCUAUGCCAUGCGGCCCAGGCCAGGAUGGAGACAAGCGGGAUGGUCCUUGUGCUGUAUCUUCUGCCAGAGAUAACCACUCGCCUUUUCACUGGAUGGCACAAAACACAAGGACCCACAAGUUGUUUUCAAAAUGCUCCAUCCCUGGCCACUGAACUCUGGCUCUAGUGUGCCGCCCAAUGGGAACAAAGCAGAGAACAUGCCCUUUUGCUGACCCUGAACUGCCUCAGAUCCUCGCUACCCUGCUUGGAACAAUCACAAAGCCCAUACUCUGAACAGUCAAAGAUUCUCCUUGAGAACCGAUUCUGGUGCCAGGAAAUCUGAUACAAAGGAGAAAUCUGCAGGUCCUGUAUUUCUUGAGCAUCAUUAUCCUAAUUAAGCACCACACUGUGGAGUGCCAAGACUAUAAAUGGCAUCACGUUGGCUCCUCUCACCUCUUCAUCUGUGGCCAUGAUGAGCUGCUGUUUUGUCUGCUGAGGUCUGGCGGCCCUGGAUAUUGGCGCCUGCCGGCCCAGGCCCUUUCUCAUGCUCAUCCUCAUUGAGCGUCUUUGCAUUUUCAUCUCCCCAGAGCACCAGCUUCAGCACAUGCCUUUCAGCCUCGGGACCUAAGAGCUGACACUGCCUCCUGACCAACUCACAGGCCAGUGCUUGGCCUCAGGCCUGGCCCACCCUCCUCCAGGACACCUUCCUCCAGCCAAGUUGGCAGCUGCUGGGGGGGGUGAGACAUCAGCUCAGGACUGGCCUGACUGUGUGGCUUAAGAGGUUCCUUAGUCUCUGGGUGCCUCCAUUUCCCCACCUAUAAAAUGGGCAAACUAAGACUACGCACCUCACUAUCAUUACA